GUUUCUAUAGUUGAAUUACAACG
This 23-nucleotide transfer RNA is filed under the name Rattus rattus (black rat). Its description in RNAcentral is "partial tRNA-Glu". The record is from RNAcentral. Lineage: Eukaryota; Metazoa; Chordata; Mammalia; Rodentia; Muridae.